RNAcentral lists this ribosomal RNA (324 nucleotides) under uncultured eukaryote. Its description in RNAcentral is "partial 18S ribosomal RNA". It matches the Rfam family "Eukaryotic small subunit ribosomal RNA", at positions 1470 to 1796 of the family's 1831-position model. The record is from RNAcentral.
CCCUUAGAUGUUCUGGGCCGCACGCGCGCUACACUGAUGCAUUCAACGAGUUUCUUCCUGGUCCGAGAGGAAUGGGUAACCUUUUGAAAGUGCAUCGUGAUAGGGAUAGACUAUUGCAAUUAUUGGUCUUCAACGAGGAAUUCCUAGUAGACGUAGUUCAUCAGACUGCAUCGAUUACGUCCCUGCCCUUUGUACACACCGCCCGUCGCUCCUACCGAUUGAAUGCUCAGGUGAGCCAUUCGGACUUUCAUCAUGCAGGUUUCCAGUUUUGAUGAAGGAAAGUCUUGCGAACCUUAUCAUUUAGAGGAAGGAGAAGUCGUAACA